UAUCAAAAUGUAAAGAAAAAAUAACAGAGACCGGGUUCAAACUGUGGUCGCCAAAAUUGCAGUCCAGUGUUGUAUCCACUGCUAUGAAAGUUUACAUUUGUUUAUUUGAUUUAAUAUAUACCUUGGUUACAAACAUUAAUUGAUAACAUCGACUAGCCAAUCACACAUUAAAACAGUUAAAAAAUUAUUUAUAUUAAAAAUUAAUUAUACUAGGUAUGCCCACCUAGUAAUCUUUUUUAAUGGAAAAAAUGUGAAAAAUGAAUUAAUUGUAAACUAUGUGGUACUUCAGUUAGUUAGUUUCAAUGCAUUGUACACAUUGAUACCAAUUCAUGUCAGUUUUCGACAAUUUUCUCUUCUUUCGCUAUUCCAUCAGACGGUGUAUAGCCCCUGAAUUAAGUUUCACUCUAUUUCAUUGAGUAUAUUUCUUAAAAAUCCUUUUUUUGUUCGAAUCUGUUAAAAGGUCAAAAAGUCACAGUCAUGUGAGCAUCUUUGAGGCCUCUCAGUUAUUAUAACCAAUGCACCAGUCAAUUGUAACCACGCCCCCCCGGUCCGGGGGUAUACUGGGAAUAGUCGGGGAAAUGGGCCGUGUUUUUACUUUCUAUGUGGCCACGCAGGGCCGGGUGACCGCAGUAGUUUUGUCUUUGAGCCAAAUUUAGCCGAGAUUGGGCCUUAUAUAGAGUCUCUGGUGGGCGGGGGCAUUUGGCCGGGGUUUUACCAUCAGUUCGUCCCCGCCGGGGAGGGGGAUUAGACCCAGGGUUGGCUGGACCGAAAGUCAAAGUCCCAGCUAUUCCCCGGACCUGGGGGCGCCGUGGUUACAAUUGACUGGUGCAAAACAUAUAAGAUAUUUAUAAAAUAAAUAAAAGUACAGUUAAUCAAUAUAUCUUAAUUUUAAUGUGGUAAAUUAACAAAGAAUGAGAUAGAUGCUUUAUGCAAAAUCUCACAAAGAUGUAAAAAAAUACUAAAGAGUUCGGGUUUGCUAGUUUGUAAAAAUAUUUCAUGGAAUCAUGGUAAAUUGUUAUAUUAUGUCCAAUGACAGCCCAUAUAUUUUUUAACUACUCGAACCUUUCUUGUUAUAAUUCUUAUUAUUUAUUUUUUUAGUUGAUGUGUGAUGCUGAUAAUACAGAGACAGCUAGAGUGACAGAGUUUGAUGAAUAAACUUAAAUUAAAAAGACAGAAAUAACCACCAUCUCUCUCAGAGGUCAUCUUUCUCAUUAUUGUGGGGAAACCUCAAAGGGCAUCAGGAAAACCUUCAUUAACCUCUUUGUGCCCAGUGGCUUGUGCAACAGUGUUUCAGAUAUUAUCAUUAAAAUGGGGAUAAUGGAUGACUGGCCACACAUAUGGGGCUAUGGACAAGCUUCAGAGCAGGCUGCCAGGUGUUGGUGUUAGUAGUUUAUACUCCGGGUCCCGGCAUGAGCACAUUGAAGGGUCCCAGAGUGACAGUUCAACCACCGCACACCUGUCCUGGGCAGAACCAGUACUAGGUGUCUUCACCUCUGCAAGUAACUGACAACUUCUGUACAUGCCAGGUGCAGUGGUACAGUUCGAAUGGUCGUAGAAAAGAUUUCAUAACCAAUCACAACAGAGGUGACCUGGUCCGCCCGGGAAUCGAACCCGGGUUGUCCAAUUCAGAGUCCAGCACUCUACCGAUUGAGCUGACCGGGCGGACAUAUUAGCUACAUUAGAUGACAAGCCAACUAUGCUGGACAUUCUUCACAAUAAAAUGUGAUGUCACAGGAGCUGUCUAUCUCAACAGCUCACACUGUCCGUAUUUGACUAAAGGAAUGAAUGAAGUCACUGCAGAAGUUAGAUUGAGGAAUGUCCAUGUCACUACCCAUCAUGUGGAAGGAGUUGGAUAAAAAAGUGUGGCCUAUGUAUUGAAACUGCUCCGAUUUCCAGUUACGGACAGUCUUGAUUUGUUUGAUUACAUUUUUGACCAACAUGAUGGUCUAAAUGAACACUUACUGGUAACUGGUAAAAUCAUGGCCCAGAUGUUCCAAGAGGCAGGCGAGUGUGAAGUUACUAGACUCCAUUUCUUUAUAUUAUGGGUUGAUCUGAGGUUCCAGUUCAGUUAAAGUACUGAUGGAACACCAAGUGUUUGCCAUAAUACAGCAACAUUUGAUUUGUAACUAUGUAUUUGUUUGAAUUGUUGAAACAGUACUGUUUACUAAAUAAUGUGUAUGUAUAUGAAGAAUAAUAUUAUAAAUAAUUUGUAAGAACCUUUUGAUAUUAAGUAAAAUGUCGAUAAGUCUAAAUAUGUAUCUGUAAAUCAUUUUUGUAUAUCUGCAUCACAUUGCCUAUAUUCCUCAAUUUAUAUUUUUCUUUUAGCCAGUCAAUAACUUUUCUUAAGUUCUAUCUUCAAAAUUGACGGGACAGGGAUUAUAGCCCUUAAUUAACCCAAAUAUGUAACAUUCAAUGCAAAAUUUCUAAUUGGCUGCAUUUAGGCAGUUCAGAUGCAGGAACAAACAUCACUUGGGUCCUUAAUAAUAGCUUUCCAUCUGACAUAGAAGAUCCAAUAAAAGGAAUUUGCCAUGUGACUGUUUAUUAACUCUCAAUUUAUUGAAAGUGAAAUUACUUACAUGAUUUGUAAGAACUAAGUUAUAAUGAUAUCAAAUGAUUGUUUAAAUAAAAUAAAAUAGAUGAUUACAUACAUGAACUAUUUUUAUUUCUUGUUUGUCAAUAUGAAGAGUAAUGCAAUGGCUUUUGAAUUUCAUAAAAGAAAAGGAUGGAAAAAUGUAUGUUUAUUGUUUAAGCAAUUAAUUAAGUAAUAAAAGCAUUUUUUUUCUCUUUUUUUUCAAAUAGUGCUAUCUUAUAAUACUGAUCGUUAUUUGUUUGAUUUUGGUACAAAUGAAGUAUAUAAGGUAUGUCUAAUGAUACAAAUAGCAAAAAUUCAAAUGCAAAUCAUGGUGACUUGACUAAAUGUGAAUGGUAAUUGAAUCAAAAUAGUUAAUAAAUAAUAAUGUUCAUUUGAAACAAUUGAGAGUAUAAGUUUGGUUUGUGUAUGCCAUAUAU
Long non-coding RNA from Mya arenaria, 3009 nucleotides. RefSeq lists it as uncharacterized. The transcript is spliced from 3 exons. The record is from RefSeq and is a predicted model, not a curated record. Lineage: Eukaryota; Metazoa; Mollusca; Bivalvia; Myida; Myidae.